AUUGAACGCUGGCGGCAGGCCUAACACAUGCAAGUUGAGCGGAUGACGGGAGCUUGCUCCUUGAUUCAGCGGCGGACGGGUGAGUAAUGCCUAGGAAUCUGCCUGGUAGUGGGGGACAACGUUUCGAAAGGAACGCUAAUACCGCAUACGUCCUACGGGAGAAAGCAGGGGACCUUCGGGCCUUGCGCUAUCAGAUGAGCCUAGGUCGGAUUAGCUAGUUGGUGGGGUAAUGGCUCACCAAGGCGACGAUCCGUAACUGGUCUGAGAGGAUGAUCAGUCACACUGGAACUGAGACACGGUCCAGACUCCUACGGGAGGCAGCAGUGAGGAAUAUUGGACAAUGGGCGAAAGCCUGAUCCAGCCAUGCCGCGUGUGUGAAGAAGGUCUUCGGAUUGUAAAGCACUUUAAGUUGGGAGGAAGGGAAGUAAGUUAAUACCUUGCUGUUUUGACGUUACCGACAGAAUAAGCACCGGCUAACUCUGUGCCAGCCGCCGCGGUAA
This 500-nucleotide ribosomal RNA is filed under the name uncultured bacterium. RNAcentral's name for it is "partial 16S ribosomal RNA". It matches the Rfam family "Bacterial small subunit ribosomal RNA", at positions 30 to 523 of the family's 1533-position model. The record is from RNAcentral.